UGGGAGGAGAACCCAGGGCAGUCCCAGGAUACAAUGGAGGGACUUCAGUUCCCUUCUGGCCUGGGAACACUUUGGGAUCCCUGAGAAUGAGCUCAAGGGUGUUGAUGUGGAUAUGGACAUCUGGGUUUGCCUCCUGGACCCUUUACAGCAGUGCCCUAAUCCCAGAUAAGAAAGAGAUGAUGGGUGCAUAGCUGCUUUAGGGCUGCCUGACAUCAGAAAAAUAUGUAACUGCCAUAUUGUAUUUGGAUAUUGUGAUAAAGAAAUUUGGUGUGAUAAGCCUACAUUUUUAAUCAAUCUUCUCUUUCUUGUUUGUCUUCAUGAUAUUCCCGCUACCAUCAUGUGGGCUUUAGCAUCUCAGCAACAUCAGGCAUGGCCACUGAGGGCAGUGCAGGCCCAAAAGCAGAAGCAUGCAGAACAAGAAGACAUUGUGCUUGGAAAAAUAAUUGUCUACCAAGUAUUGCCCUGGCAGUUAUGUUGAUGUGGCACACAUUGGUGAAUGAACAGUGGAGACGUGAAGCAGCUGCAACCGCUUUUUGACCCAAAGAAAUCUGAUUGCUCCUUGCAGGGGGACCUUGUCCUGGGCUGGGCCUGUGCAGUGGUGGUAUUGCUGAAUUGGGGUGUCUCGCUGCCCUACGUCUCACCCUGUGCCUCUUUCACCUGGGGGCAGCUGUUCCUGUGUUUCACCAACGACCUACCGCUGUGGGGAGCUGCCCUGAGACGAUGCCCCGUGUCUGUCUGCCUGGGGCUGCUGUGGCCUUCUGGUGUCCACCUGUCCUUUGCUGCGCUUGGGUGUUGUGCAGUGUUGAUUUAAUGAAGUUAAUCACGCUGUUAGGAUUCCAUCUUGGGUUAUCUUUUUUGUAGAGAAAAUCUGACCUGGCACAUGUAGGCAACCAGCUAUAUGGUAGGCCUGAAAUACGACAAGACGUGAAAAAAAAGGCUUCAUGAGCUGAAGGAUGACUGAUUUAUAAACCCGGUGCAUGUAAACAUCUUAGCAUCAUGUAAUUUUGAUUUGACGGAAAUCAUUUUCGGCUGACAGGGGAUCUGAUGCACCUGGGGGUUGUUGGCUCCAGGAUCUGACAAUCUGUAUUUUUCAGAAUCAUAAUCAUAAUCAGGCACACAUGAUUACACAUAUUGACAUUUUUACUGCUUUAUUAGCUUAAAUGUAGCUUGAUGAACACAAAUCAUCUUAAUAGGUCAGAUCAUGGUUUGUAGUUUAGUUGCAAAAAUAAAUUUGACCUCAUGUUUAUCAGACCAUCUGAUUCCCAACAGACUGAAGCAGCUCUGCGAUCCCCUGAAAUCCUGCAGGAUCUGGAGCCACUUUCACAAGUUCUGCAGAACCAGGAAAUAGGCUGUCUUGCACUGGAAUAUGGAAGGAAUUUUUUGAAGUUAAUAAUCAUCCUAAUUCCAGGCACAUGUGAAAGUGAAUAAUUUGCAAGCAGCAACUUGUGUGCAACCCAGACAGACGUCGUGUCACUUUAACGUAUUUGAUGUCAGAGUCGGUAAACAUCUUCGGAGCACAUCUGCUAUUCCUGUCUGCUCGUCUGUCUCCUCAGAUUUCCAUCUCGGUCUGCCUGCCUCCAUUAUUACCUCGUCUGGCUCCAGAUUCAUGAUUCUGCUUUUAUAAAUUAAACUUUAACAUAAGAACAAACCUAAAGGGUUGCUGCAGUAAGAUGAUGAUCAGGAGGAUGGAGACUGGAGGGAUAGGUUGGAGUUCAGGGAGGUUAGGACUGUUUAGCUGCUUCGCCUGAACAAAGACAUUAAAUUUAAGUUUGGUUGGUUUCCACUGUGAUCAUAGCAGCCAAGGAAAGAAGCUGCAGAGCUUCUAAUGCUGACUAUGAGUGGAUAUGGCAAAGCUUACAGCACAUCACAUACUACAGGGCAAGCACCUGCACCAUCAUGUCCACAGAGCUGGAUCUCAACAUCUGUACUCAGUUUAAGACCUCCAGCUAACACACUUGAAGAACCCGACCCCAUUCCUCACCUCUGAAGGUCUCAUCAUGCCAGGUACAUAAAGCACUGAAGAAGAUAAAGCUCCAUAAGGUAGCAGGUCCUGACAACAUCCCUGGACAGACAGUUAGAGGAUGUGCCAACAAACUGGCUGGAGUUCUCACAUCCUUCGUCAACCUCUUCCUUCACCCGGAUCACUGCUCCCUCCUGAUUCAAGACCACAAUCAUCAGCCCCUCAACCCGGGAAGAGCCUGCACACCUGCCUGAAGGAUUACAGGCCAGUAGGUCUCACUCCAACCAUCAUGAACACCUGCUUGAUCUGCACCCCACCAUCCAUGACUGCUGCCAAUACCUCCUGACUGGCAGGUCCUGAUCUGUCAGGGCUUCAGCCACCUCUACUACUCACACAGGAACACCACAGGGAUGCGUCCUCGGUCCCAUCCACCACUCUCUGUUCACCAGUGACCAGAGGUGUGGAUUCAAGUGCUGAAUGGGAAAUCAGUCAGAUUUGAAUGACAAAUGUAUUAACUCUAGACCCAGAAUGAGGCAGCCGUCUUCCAGAGAGAUGCGUGCAAAGUGGGUAAAAAAUGUCAUACGAAGCGUUACUCUGUACAAUGAUGUCAAAGCACUUUUACUAACACCUUAAAUGCAGACUGGAGCAAAUGUUUAGAGAUAGAUUUCUUCUUAUUGAAAAUCUGCAGACAAUGACGUGAAUAUUGCUUGUGAUUGAUUUUAUCAAACUUUUAUCAAUAAAUGAUAGACAAGA
Molecule: long non-coding RNA, 2713 nt
Organism: Girardinichthys multiradiatus
Lineage: Eukaryota; Metazoa; Chordata; Actinopteri; Cyprinodontiformes; Goodeidae
Exons: 2
Source: RefSeq, a predicted model, not a curated record